This 20-nucleotide small nuclear RNA is filed under the name Arabidopsis thaliana (thale cress). RNAcentral describes it as "snRNA_01342". The record is from RNAcentral. Lineage: Eukaryota; Viridiplantae; Streptophyta; Magnoliopsida; Brassicales; Brassicaceae.
GUAGUCUGGAGAAGCGUCCU